CAUAGCCUUUGGAGAAAGAUUUGAACCCUACACUGCCACAUGUUUAGCUGCUUGAUCCCAAAGAUGUCCCUAACUAUCUGUGAACCCCAGAUUUCUCUUUUGCAAGUUGGGACUCACCUACCUUGCAGGAUUGUUAAAGGAAUUAACUGACAUGGCUGCAAUUUCUCCCUUGGAGAAUAUGAAGAGAAAAAAAGAGGAGGCUAAGGAUCUAUAUCUGUUGAGCUGGUAAUGGAACCAGUGAUGGAAUAUUCCAUGGCCACCAGGCUAUCACCUGGAUCAACUCCUUCUGCCUCGACCCAGCCAUUCUACCCUGGGAAGUGCCUCAACCACUGGCCAGGAAGCCUGAGUUCUGUUCCAGGUUCUGCCACUGACCUGCUAAGCAAUCCUCGACUGCGCAUUUACCUUCUCAGGGCUCUGCUUCCCCAUGCGUAAAAGGGAGACAGUAAUACAUCCCCAUCCUCCACACGGUCCGCUGCCCAGGGGUCACAAAGAUCACACGAGACAACAGAUUUUUAAAGCUAAACAUGCUUUAUAAGCAUAAGACCUUAUAAAUGUUAUUUCUAUUUAGAUGGCUUGAGGAAAGAAAUAAAAAUAAUUUGGGGGGAGGGUAUCGACUCAAAAUGAGCCUGCACUUAUGAGGGAAGGAAGAAGGGAAGGAUGGGCUGGGGCAAAUUUCACCCUACGGACUGAGAAAGUGCUCUCUUUCUACAUGUGCCUGGAAGUGUUGAGACGAUCAGAGGAAAU
RNAcentral lists this long non-coding RNA (744 nucleotides) under Equus caballus (horse). RNAcentral describes it as "lncRNA (ENSECAG00000057397.1)". The record is from RNAcentral. Lineage: Eukaryota; Metazoa; Chordata; Mammalia; Perissodactyla; Equidae.